CUGCUGCCUCCCGUAGGAGUCUGGGCCGUGUCUCAGUCCCAAUGUGGCCCGUUUCACCCUCUCAGGCCGGCUACUGAUCGUCGCCUUGGUGGGCCGUUACCCCGCCAACAAGCUAAUCAGACGCGGAACCAUCGUAUACCACCGGAGUUUUUCACACUGUCCCAUGCGGGUCUGUGCGCUUAUGCGGUAUUAGCACCUAUUUCUAAGUGUUAUCCCCCAGUAUACGGCAGGUUUUCCACGCGUUACUCACCCGUCCGCCACUAA
RNAcentral lists this ribosomal RNA (264 nucleotides) under uncultured bacterium. RNAcentral's name for it is "partial 16S ribosomal RNA". The record is from RNAcentral.